GACGAACGCUGGCGGCGUGCCUAAUACAUGCAAGUAGAGCGCACAGUUUAUACCGUAGCUUGCUACACCAUAGACUGUGAGUUGCGAACGGGUGAGUAACGCGUAGGUAACCUGCCUGGUAGCGGGGGAUAACUAUUGGAAACGAUAGCUAAUACCGCAUAAUAUUAAUUAUUGCAUGAUAAUUAAUUGAAAGGUGCAAUUGCACCACUACCAGAUGGACCUGCGUUGUAUUAGCUAGUAGGUGAGGUAACGGCUCACCUAGGCGACGAUACAUAGCCGACCUGAGAGGGUGAUCGGCCACACUGGGACUGAGACACGGCCCAGACUCCUACGGGAGGCAGCAGUAGGGAAUCUUCGGCAAUGGACGAAAGUCUGACCGAGCAACGCCGCGUGAGUGAAGAAGGUUUUCGGAUCGUAAAGCUCUGUUGUAAGAGAAGAACGGGUGUGAGAGUGGAAAGUUCACACUGUGACGGUAGCUUACCAGAAAGGGACGGCUAACUACGUG
This 505-nucleotide ribosomal RNA is filed under the name uncultured bacterium. RNAcentral describes it as "partial 16S ribosomal RNA". It matches the Rfam family "Bacterial small subunit ribosomal RNA", at positions 28 to 507 of the family's 1533-position model. The record is from RNAcentral.